GUGCCAGCCGCCGCGGUAAUACCGGCAGCCCAAGUGAUGGCCGCUGUUAUUGGGCCUAAAGCGUCCGUAGCUGGCCGCACAAGUCCGUCGGGAAAUCCGCCCGCUCAACGGGCGGCCGUCCGGCGGAACCUGUGUGGCUUGGGACCGGGAGGCCUGAGGGGUACGAUCGGGGUAGGAGUGAAAUCCUGUAAUCCUGGACGGACCGCCGGUGGCGAAAGCGCCUCGGGAGGACGGACCCGACAGUGAGGGACGAAAGCCAGGGUCUCGAACCGGAUUAGAACCCGAGUGUCC
This 291-nucleotide ribosomal RNA is filed under the name uncultured bacterium. RNAcentral describes it as "partial 16S ribosomal RNA". It matches the Rfam family "Archaeal small subunit ribosomal RNA", at positions 455 to 747 of the family's 1478-position model. The record is from RNAcentral.